Molecule: small nuclear RNA, 187 nt
Organism: Pygocentrus nattereri (red-bellied piranha)
Lineage: Eukaryota; Metazoa; Chordata; Actinopteri; Characiformes; Serrasalmidae
Gene: U2
Rfam family: U2 spliceosomal RNA
About the family: U2 is a small nuclear RNA (snRNA) component of the spliceosome (involved in pre-mRNA splicing). Complementary binding between U2 snRNA (in an area lying towards the 5' end but 3' to hairpin I) and the branchpoint sequence (BPS) of the intron results the bulging out of an unpaired adenosine, on the BPS, which initiates a nucleophilic attack at the intronic 5' splice site, thus starting the first of two transesterification reactions that mediate splicing.
Source: Ensembl
AUCGCUUCUCUGCCUUUUGGCUAAGAUUAAGUGUAGUAUCUGUUCUUAUCAGUUUAAUAUCUGAUACGUCCUCUAUAUGAGGACUACAUAUUAAGUUGAUUUUUAGAACAGGGAGACGGAAGAGGGGCUUGCUCCGGCUGCUCCACACAUUGACCUGGUAUUUACCUCCCGGAAUGGUGCACCUCCA